GUUCUUUGGGAUGAUGAAGCAACUGACCAGUCCUCAUGUUUCCUCAAGAAUAGAGGGUUAUGUCAAAGAUGAUUGACAACUGAGUCAGUAGGAACCUACCACUUUAGUGUUCUAUAAGAGAGUUGGAAAUAACUCCUUAUUCUUUUUUUGGCUCUCCCUCUUCUAGGAUGCAACCAGUGCUUUCUCCACCUUGGACAUCCAAUGGGGGAGAAUGAUUUUCAGACCUUGGAGAACAGAACUAAAAUGAUUAACAGAGAAUAAAAUCUCCAGAUGUGAAACUGAGACCCGAGGAGGAUGAAUGACUUGCCCAAAGUCACACAGCAAAGAAAUAUCAGAGAUAGGAUUUGAU
Long non-coding RNA from Vombatus ursinus (common wombat), 349 nucleotides. RefSeq lists it as uncharacterized. The transcript is spliced from 3 exons. The record is from RefSeq and is a predicted model, not a curated record. NCBI's taxonomy places the organism in Eukaryota, Metazoa, Chordata, Mammalia, Diprotodontia, Vombatidae.